This 3388-nucleotide ribosomal RNA is filed under the name Pinus taeda (loblolly pine). RNAcentral's name for it is "eukaryotic LSU rRNA". It matches the Rfam family "Eukaryotic large subunit ribosomal RNA". The record is from RNAcentral. Lineage: Eukaryota; Viridiplantae; Streptophyta; Pinopsida; Pinales; Pinaceae.
UGACGUCAGCUCAGGGAAGAACACCUACUGAGUUUAAGCAUAUAAUUAAGUGGAGGAAAAUAAACUUACAAGGAUUCCCCUAGUAUCAACGAGCGAACUGGGAAGAGCCCAACAUGAAAAUUAGGCGGAAACAUCGCCUAAAUUGUAGUCUGUUGAUGCAUCCUCAGCGGUGGACCUAGGCCAAGUCCCUUAGAAGGGGGCACCUGAGAGGGUGACAGCCCCAUCGGGCCAAGGCCCUACCACAUCACGAGGAAUUUCCAACGAUUCGGGUUGUUUGGGAAUGUAGCUUGAAUUGGGUGGUAAAUUCCGUUCAAGGCUAAAUACGAGUGCGAGACCAAUAAUGAACAAGUACUACGAAGGAAAUAUGAAAAGGACUUUGAAAAUAGAGUUAAAGAGUGCUUGAAAUUGUUGGGAGGGAAGCAGAUGGAGGUUCUUGAAGCAUCUUAGUUAGAUGUGGAACGACUCAGGUUGGUCCAUCACUCAACUUAAGGUGAAAACCAACACAGGCUGCUACGUCAUCACAAGCACGGGUGGAUUAUUGCCUAUCAGUUUAUCAUUACAAUGGUCGAGGAGCAAAGCGUGCACCCUUGUGGCGGGUCAUGUGCACCUGUGUGCUCGUGGUGUUGGUUGGCGGGCUUUCCAUUCGACCCGUCUUGAAACAUGGAACAAGGAGUCUAACAUGUGUGCAAGUCGGUGGGUUUGAAAUCCUGCAAGGUGUGAGGAAGUUGACAUGUGAGAUCCCCUCUCUAGGGGGGUGCAUCAUUGACCAAGCUUGAGAUUAUGGGAAGGGUUUGAGUGCGAGCACACCUGUUGGGACCCAAAAGAUGGUGAACUAUGCUUGAGCAGGGCGAAGCUAGAGGAAACUUUGGUGGAGGCUUGUAGUGAUAAUGACAUGCAAAUCGUUCGUCUGACUUGGGGAUAGGGGUGAAAGACUAAUCGAACAAUCUAGUAGCUGGUUUCCUCUGAAGUUUCCCUCAGGAUAGCUGGAGCUCGCGUGAGUUUUAUCGGGUAAAGCAAAUGAUUAGAGGCAUUAGUGGCCUAAUGCCCUCGAUCUAUUCUCAAACUUUAAAUAGGUAAGAGGGUGUGGCUGCUCCAUUGAGCCAUGCCAUGGAAUUGAGAGCUCCAAGUGGGCCAUUUUUGGUAAGCAGAACUGGAGGUGUGGAUGAACUGAAAGUCAAGUUACAGUGCCGAAUUGUGCACUAACCUAGAUCCCGCAAAGGGUGUUGGCUAAUUAAGAUAGCAGGAUGGUGGUCAUGGAAGUCGAAAUCCACUAAGGAGUGCGUAACAACUCACCUGCCGAAUCAACUAAUCCAUAAAAUGGAUGGCGCUAAAGCACACAAUCUAUACUCGAUCAUCGGAGCAAUUGCCUAGCUUCGAUGAGUAGCAGGACUUGGGGAUCAUUGAAAUACAUUGACUGUGAGCUUGGGUGGAUCAGCCCCCAGUGAAGAUCUUGGUGGUAGUACCAAAUAUUCAAAUGAGAACUUUGAAGACUUAAGUGGGGAAAGGUUCCAUGUGAACAACACUUGGACAUGGGUUAAUCGAUCCUAAGAGAUGGGGAAGCCUUGUAUCAAGACUACACUCUACAUAAGCAUUGAAAGAGAAUCAGGUUAAUAUUCCUGAACUGGGACAUGAUGGCAGGUGGAAACAUUAGGAAAUCUGGAGAUGUCGUUGGGGGCCCUGGGAAGAGUUAUCCUUCAUUUUUAAUAGCUUUCCCACCCUGGAAUUGGUUCACCAAGAGAUAGGGUCCAGCAGCUGGAAGAGCACAACAUGUCUUGUAGUGUCUGGUGCACCCUCGGUGGCCCUUAAAAACCUGGAGGACUGAGUACCAUUCAUGCCCAGUCAUAAUCAUAACCGCAUCAGGUCUCCAAGGUGAACAUCCUUUGGUCAAUAGAAAAAUGUAGGUAAGGGAAGUAAAAAAAAUAGAUUCGUAACUUCCGGAAAAGGCUUGGCUCUGAGGGAUGGGCCUAGGGGCCUUUGCCCUCAACUCGUGGGUUGUCAACAGUCUACCUAAGCUAUUCUCACAGUGAGGGCAGGCAGUCGCAUGCCGAUUGGGCUAUGGGCGUAGAAUUCUCCCUACCAAGGGCUUUUCCCUGGGCGAUGAACAAUCGACUCAGAACUGGUACACACAAGGGGAUUUUGACUGGCUAAUUAAAAUAAAGCAUUGUGAUGGUCCCUGCGGAUGCUGACACAAUGUGAUUUCUGCCCAGUGCUUUGAAUGUCAAAGUGAACAAAUUCAACCAAACGCGGGUAAACGACGGGAGUAACUAUGACUCUCUUAAGGUAGCCAAAUGCCUUGUCAUCUAAUUAGUGAUGUGCAUGAAUGGAUUAAUGAGAUUCCCAUUGUCCCUAUAUACUAUCUAGAAAAACUACAACCAAGGGAACCAACUUCGAAGAAUCAGUGGGGAAAGAAGACCCUGCUGAGUUUGACUCUAGUCUUACUUUGUGAAAUGACUUGAGAGGUAUAGAAUAAGUGGGAGUCAUUUUCGACGCAAGUGAAAUAAAACUACUUAUAAUGUUAUUUUACUUAUUCUGGGGGGCAGAGAUGGGGAACUGCCCCUAUUUUUGGCCUUAAGGAAAGUUUUGGUGGGUUGAUCCACGUGGAAGACAUUGUCAAGUGGGGAGUUUGGCUAGGGCAGCAUAUCUAUUAAAAUAUAAUGCAGGUGUCCUAAGAUGAGCUCAACAAGAACAUAAACCUCGUGUGGAACAAAAGGGUAAAAUAUAAUUUGAUUUUGAUUUUCAAUAUGAAUACAAACCAUGAAAGUGUGGCCUAUUGAUGCUUUAGAUUUUUGGAAUUUGAAGCUAGAGGUGUCAGAAAAGUUACCACAGGGAUAGCUAGCUUUUGGAAGCCAAGUGUUCAUAGUGACAUUGCUUUUUGAUCCUUCGAUGUCGACUCUUCCUAUCAUUGUAAAGCAGAAUUCACAAAGUGUUGGAUUGUUCAGCCACUAAUAGGGAAUGUGAGUUGGGUUUAGACUGCCAUGAGAUAGGUUAGUUUUACCCUACUGAUGAAUCACACCGCAAUAGUAAUUCAACUUAGUACGAGAGGAACCACUGAUUCACACAAUUGGUCAUCACGCUUGGUUGAAAAUCCAGUGGCGCAAAGCUAUCAUGUGUUGAAUUAUGACUGAAUGCCUCUAAGCUAAAAUCCAUGCUAGAAUUAGUGCAUGUCACUCUUCAACUGUAUCUCGACCCGCAGUAGGGGCGUCGCUUUCUCACCCCCAAGGGCCUGUGUCAUUUGCAAACCGUGACUAUGAAGCAUCUCGGUUGGGGCAACUUUGAAGUUCCAUUCCAAAUGGUCAUUGAGAAGAAUCCUUUGUAGACAACUUAAAUAAGUGACAGGGUAUUGUCAGUGGCAGAGUGUCCUUACUACCAUGAUCCACUGAGAUUCAGC